Molecule: ribosomal RNA, 301 nt
Filed under: uncultured bacterium
Lineage: Bacteria
Description: partial 16S ribosomal RNA
Rfam family: Bacterial small subunit ribosomal RNA
Source: RNAcentral
CAGUCGCCGCGGGAAAACGUAGGGCGCAAGCGUUAUCCGGAAUUAUUGGGCGUAAAGAGCUCGUAGGCGGUUUGUCGCGUCUGCCGCGAAAGUCCGGGGCUCAACCCCGGAUCUGCGGUGGGUACGGGCAGACUAGAGUGAUGUAGGGGAGACUGGAAUUCCUGGUGUAGCGGUGAAAUGCGCAGAUAUCAGGAGGAACACCGAUGGCGAAGGCAGGUCUCUGGGCAUUAACUGACGCUGAGGAGCGAAAGCAUGGGGAGCGAACAGGAUUAGAUACCCCUGUAGUCCCUGUCUCUUAUAC